CUGGAAUGAGGCCAGAAGAACUAGAAGCUUUAUUACAAGACGCCCAACAGUCUCCUAUUGAUGCGAAUAGCGGCCAUGGAUCAACACAUUUUCCGAACUUAGAUGUGGGUAACAAUGAAGAUUAAGCAAUGAAGAUUAGGCUGACUAUUAUUGUGAUUUAUUGGCUAAGAUAGAGUGCUAUUUAGAAUCUUUACAUGUAUGGUUGACUAAUGAUUUUUAUUAGAAGAUACUUUUAUUGGCUAAGUGAUAUUAUGGUUUUGAUAUGGCUAUGCUUACUUUAGUUUGAGUUGUAUGAAUUUUUACAGUUAACUUCAUUCUAGUACUUUUGGAUCAAUGUUAUAAAUAUAUUUUGGUUAGAGACAAUUUUUAUUAUAUAAAGAAAUUAUUUAGUAU
Non-coding RNA from Arachis ipaensis, 393 nucleotides. Lineage: Eukaryota; Viridiplantae; Streptophyta; Magnoliopsida; Fabales; Fabaceae. The record is from RefSeq and is a predicted model, not a curated record.